Molecule: long non-coding RNA, 473 nt
Filed under: Hordeum vulgare
Lineage: Eukaryota; Viridiplantae; Streptophyta; Magnoliopsida; Poales; Poaceae
Description: long non-coding RNA (HVUL_LNC015497)
Source: RNAcentral
UGAUUCACAAAUAUAAUUUAAAGUAGUCAUAGUAAGUGUGACACUCUAUAAUCCUUGUUUCUAACUUACAUCCAGACUUUAAUGUAUAGUUGUUCUAAAUUGCUAUUAAUUAUAUGAAGAAUGUUGAGGCAAACGUAUAGAAGAUGACACAAUGCCACCGCAUGUCUAAUGUUCUGACCACUUGAACAGUAGUAACAUGCUCAUAAUACAUGUAGAAUUCAUGUUUUCCAAUAUAUGCACAAUAUGACAAGACCAAAGAGUCUGCGUUGCAUAGUUACUAAGGUUGAUGGCCUUAUUUGGCGAUGAAAGAAAGUAGAAAUGACUAAACUGCAUAUUAGAGUGAGCCUGUGGGCCUAUAUGCAAGUUACAGAAUUAUUUGGCAAUAAUAUAAACUAGCUAGAAGGCCUUAGUCUCAAAUGACCGAAUGGAGAAGGAUCCUAUCGUCAUCCACUCAUCCUUGAUGGAUCACAAAU